Gasterosteus aculeatus (three-spined stickleback) is the source of this 68-nucleotide microRNA precursor. It matches the Rfam family "miR-430 microRNA precursor family". The record is from Rfam. Lineage: Eukaryota; Metazoa; Chordata; Actinopteri; Perciformes; Gasterosteidae.
CAGAUAACCUCAAACUGAGACACUGAUGAUUCUUCAGUUCAUAAGUGCUUCUCUUUGGGGUUGUCUUG